Molecule: ribosomal RNA, 829 nt
Filed under: uncultured Gammaproteobacteria bacterium
Lineage: Bacteria; Pseudomonadati; Pseudomonadota; Gammaproteobacteria
Description: bacterial SSU rRNA
Rfam family: Bacterial small subunit ribosomal RNA
Source: RNAcentral
GGCAGCCCUUAUACAUGCAAGUCGAACGAGAAAGUUCCUUCGGGAGCGAGUAAAGUGGCGGACGGGUGAGUAACGCGUAGGAAUCUACCUUUUAGUGGGGGAUAGCUCGGGGAAACUCGAAUUAAUACCGCAUACACCCUUCGGGGGAAAGGGGGCCUCUCCUUGGAAGCUCUCGCUAUUAGAUGAGCCUGCGUGAGAUUAGCUUGUUGGUAAGGUAAUGGCUUACCAAGGCUACGAUCUCUAGCUGGUCUGAGAGGACGAUCAGCCACACUGGGACUGAGACACGGCCCAGACUCCUACGGGAGGCAGCAGUAGGGAAUAUUGGACAAUGGGGGAAACCCUGAUCCAGGCAUGCCGCGUGUGUGAAGAAGGCCUUAGGGUUGUAAAGCACUUUAAGUGAGGAAGAAAAGAUUUAAAUUAAUACUUUGAAUCCCUGACAUUACUCACAGAAUAAGGACCGGCUAACUCCGUGCCAGCAGCCGCGGUAAUACGGAGGGUCCAAGCGUUAAUCGGAAUUACUGGGCGUAAAGCGCGCGUAGAUGGUUUAUUCAGUUGGAUGUGAAAUCCCUGGGCUCAACCUAGGAACUGCAUUCAAAACUUAUAAACUAGAGUACGAAAGAGGAGAGCAGAAUUCAUGGUGUAGCGGUGAAAUGCGUAGAUAUCAUGAGGAAUACCAGUGGCGAAGGCGGCUCUCUGGUUCGAGACUGACAUUGAGGUGCGAAAGCGUGGGUAGCAAACAGGAUUAGAUACCCUGGUAGUCCACGCCGUAAACGAUGAGAACUAGCCGUUGGAUCUUUAGAUUCAGUGGCGCAGCUAACGCAUUAAGUUC